Molecule: ribosomal RNA, 881 nt
Filed under: uncultured Bacteroidota bacterium
Lineage: Bacteria; Pseudomonadati; Bacteroidota
Description: bacterial SSU rRNA
Rfam family: Bacterial small subunit ribosomal RNA
Source: RNAcentral
UUCCGGGGGGCUUACCAUGCAAGUCGAGGGGCAGCACUAUGUAGCAAUACGUUGGUGGCGACCGGCGCACGGGUGAGUAACGCGUAUGCAACCUACCCUGUACAGGGGGAUAACCCGGAGAAAUUCGGACUAAUACCGCAUAAAGAUAUUACUGGGCAUCCAGUACUAUUUAAAGCUUCGGUGGUACGGGAUGGGCAUGCGUAACAUUAGCUAGUUGGGAGGGUAACGGCCUACCAAGGCAACGAUGUUUAGGGGUCCUGAGAGGGUGAUCCCCCACACUGGUACUGAGACACGGACCAGACUCCUACGGGAGGCAGCAGUGAGGAAUAUUGGUCAAUGGGCGGAAGCCUGAACCAGCCAUCCCGCGUGCAGGAAGAAGGCGCUAUGCGUUGUAAACUGCUUUUCCAGGGGGCGAACGUUCCGUACGCGUACGGGAGUGACGGUACCUUGGGAAUGAGCAUCGGCUAACUCCGUGCCAGCAGCCGCGGUAAUACGGAGGAUGCGAGCGUUAUCCGGAUUUAUUGGGUUUAAAGGGUGCGUAGGCGGAUUAAUAAGUCAGUGGUGAAAACCUGCAGCUUAACUGUGGAACUGCCGUUGAUACUGUUAGUCUUGAGUAUGGUCAAGGUAGGCGGAAUGUGUAAUGUAGCGGUGAAAUGCUUAGAUAUUACACAGAACACCGAUUGCGAAGGCAGCUUACUGGGCCACAACUGACGCUGAUGCACGAAAGCGUGGGGAUCGAACAGGAUUAGAUACCCUGGUAGUCCACGCCGUAAACGAUGAUCACUCGCUGUUAGCGAUAUACAGUUAGUGGCUAAGCAAAAGCAUUAAGUGAUCCACCUGGGGAGUACGGCCGCAAGGCUGAAACUCAAAGGAAUUGACGG